CGGCACGGGUGAGUAACACGUAUGCAAUCCACCUGUAACAGGGGAUAACCCGGAGAAAUCCGGACUAAUACCCAUAAUAUGGGCGCUCCGCACGGAGAGUCCAUUAAAGAGAGCAAUCUUGGUUACAGACGAGCAUGCGCUCCAUUAGCCAGUUGGCGGGGUAACGGCCCACCAAGGCGACGAUGGAUAGGGGUUCUGAGAGGAAGGUCCCCCACAUUGGAACUGAGACACGGUCCAA
This 238-nucleotide ribosomal RNA is filed under the name uncultured bacterium. RNAcentral's name for it is "partial 16S ribosomal RNA". It matches the Rfam family "Bacterial small subunit ribosomal RNA", at positions 100 to 334 of the family's 1533-position model. The record is from RNAcentral.